This is a non-coding RNA of Acanthosepion pharaonis, 99 nucleotides long. The record is from the annotation of a GenBank genome assembly. NCBI's taxonomy places the organism in Eukaryota, Metazoa, Mollusca, Cephalopoda, Sepiida, Sepiidae.
AUUGAAGCACAGGUCCCCGUACGAUCACCGAAGUUAAGCAACGUCGAACCUGUUCAGUACCUACAGGGGCUACCGCUUCGGAGUACCAGGUGCUGUAAG